UAGCACGCGCGUGAGCAUAUUAACCCUAACACUCAAACGCCCUAAAUUAACUCUACCAUUUCUUGGUGAUAACAGACAAGAGAAUUAAUAUAUAUACACGAACUCAUGCAUCUUCCUCUUCUUGGCUUCAGGUAUUUUGCGUGCUCUAAAUUCUCGUUCUAGUCGUAUAUUUCCAGAACAGAUGUUGACGCAAGGACAAACAAGAAUUUAAUUUCGUGUGAGAGUUGUGGCAGAUCGACGUUAGUUCCAGAGCGGCGUGUCGCAGAUUCACAAGGCCACCACCCACCCCGCUGAACCCAGUACGUACGCUGUGUUACGCCGAGAACAAUAAAUUUAUUUGCCAAUUUCUUACGCUAAACUCAUCUCUUUUCUCUCUUACGUACCUCAACUCCUCUGCCUCUGCAAAUCUGGUAAAGUUCGUCAUUCUCGAAAAAAAAAAAAGAGGAGGGCCCGAGUUCGUAAUUAAAUGCAUGUAAAAGCUUAGAAUAGAAUCAUAGAUCUAGACCUAGCUUAGCUAGCUAGCUACUGCUUCUGCCUCUCUCUCUCUCUCUCUCUCUGUAUAGCUUAGCUGUUGUGUAAGUAAACAUGUACUCUGUUUUGGAAUCACAAUGCUCGAUCAGAUCAGUCAGUACUAAUAUGCAGCAGCAGCAGCAAAGACAAGAAAAGAUCGAUGCUUUCAGAUUCUCUCGUAAAUAUGAAACGGAUUCAAUGCCUGCAAUUGCUAGUUUCAUUUUCAUGAGGAGGGAUCAGACACGAGACAUGUCAUGUGUGGUGUUAUCCGUUAUGAUUGAGAACACUUCCUAAGUUGGGAGGAUUGCAAACUUUUUCAUGUCAAGUUGUCAAAGACUAGAAUAUCAUUUUUUUGGCCUUUUA
This is a long non-coding RNA of Rosa rugosa (rugosa rose), 873 nucleotides long. RefSeq lists it as uncharacterized. The record is from RefSeq and is a predicted model, not a curated record. The transcript has 2 exons. Lineage: Eukaryota; Viridiplantae; Streptophyta; Magnoliopsida; Rosales; Rosaceae.